Molecule: ribosomal RNA, 245 nt
Filed under: uncultured bacterium
Lineage: Bacteria
Description: partial 16S ribosomal RNA
Rfam family: Bacterial small subunit ribosomal RNA
Source: RNAcentral
UACGGAGGGUGCUAGCGUUGCUCGGAAUUACUGGGCGUAAAGCGCGUGUAGGCGGUCGGGUAAGUCAGAUGUGAAAGCCUUCCGCUCAACGGAAGAAGCGCAUUUGAAACUACUCGGCUAGAGUUCGGGAGAGGAGAGUGGAAUUCCCGGUGUAGAGGUGAAAUUCGUAGAUAUCGGGAGGAACACCAGUGGCGAAGGCGGCUCUCUGGCCCGAUACUGACGCUGAGACGCGAAAGCGUGGGGAG